This 337-nucleotide ribosomal RNA is filed under the name uncultured bacterium. Its description in RNAcentral is "bacterial SSU rRNA". It matches the Rfam family "Bacterial small subunit ribosomal RNA", at positions 28 to 355 of the family's 1533-position model. The record is from RNAcentral.
GAUGAACGCUAGCUACAGGCUUAACACAUGCAAGUCGAGGGGCAGCAUGACUGAGGUUUACCUUAGUUGAUGGCGACCGGCGAAUGGGUGAGUAACACGUAUCCAACCUGCCCGUUACUGGAGGAUAGCCCUCCGAAAGGAGAAUUAAUACUCCAUGUUGUGCUGAAUUCGCAUGUUUUCGGCACUAAAGAUUCAUCGGUAACGGAUGGGGAUGCGUCCGAUUAGGUAGUAGGCGGGGUAACGGCCCACCUAGCCUUCGAUCGGUAGGGGUUCUGAGAGGAAGGUCCCCCCANAUUGGAACUGAGACACGGUCCAAACUCCUACGGGAGGCAGCAGU